RNAcentral lists this small RNA (3117 nucleotides) under Rattus norvegicus (Norway rat). RNAcentral's name for it is "doublesex and mab-3 related transcription factor like family A2, opposite strand like (Dmrta2osl)". Lineage: Eukaryota; Metazoa; Chordata; Mammalia; Rodentia; Muridae. The record is from RNAcentral.
CAAUGUGGCGCCUGCCAUUGGCCAGGGGAGACAGUCGGCGCUCUGAUUGGCCGGGCCCGCGCCCGGGGAGCCCCUCAUUCUACAGUGUCCGAAAGAUUCGAAACUCCGCACGCUCUGCUGAGUGCCUGCGGGAUGGGAGGGGGCGCCAGGGAAGGAGUGCGCGAGGAGGAGCGUUGCAAAUGUCGUGACAAGAAGUUUCCGUGCGCCUGAGAGCGUGUGAAUUGCUCCUAAUUACCGUGUCCGGUGCGCCUCUCCGCGUAGACCUGUGUAACCCCUCUACUUCUGGGGCUCCGGCUCCACUGAGCCACUCUCCCUUGGCCCGGGGCGCUUGGCAAGGCCGAGCUUCCCAAGUGGCCCCGGAGGCCUGGGGCGGGACAGGAGCAGGUGACAAUUCAAUUACCGCUGUCGAAGUGGGAGUGGAACCCGGGUGCCGGGGUGGGGGAGGGAGGGCGUUCACCACAGACUUGCCAAGACGCUUUUUGCUGGCUUCCUUCUGACCGUGACCGAGUGCUUCCACCUCCGACGGGCUCCGAGGUAGUUGAGAGCCGGUUUGCUCCCUUCCCCCGUCCUCUGUCACCUUUAAUACUUAGUUCCUUCGUUUGCAAAGUCCCGACACCGUGGGCGUCACGGAGGCAAAAGUAAAAAGCCGCCUUUGCGCUUCCCCAGAUCCUCUGGAGGCUGGACGAACGGCCAGUCGGUCAGGCCCAUCAGCCCACAAGGCUUCCGCAGGGGGCAAGGGCCCUGGACCAGCUUUGACUUGGCCUUCCUGGACACGUGCUGACGUCACGGCCCCAGAACCGGUUGGGUCUACGGAGGAGCAUAGUGGCUCUUGUUCCUGCGUGGACUCCAGCACACAAGACAUUUUCCUCCAGUCUUGCUGAUUAAGGCCCCCAGUCGUGCGUGCCCAGCGCGAACGGAGAGAGAGGCAGCCUGUUUUUUUUUUACCCUGUUUCCGCUGAAAUGGUCCUCGGUGAAAUGGCCUAGGCUAGGACCAAGAAAAGUCGACACAACUUUGAAGUUUGGAAAACAAAACAACGAACCGCACUGCCCACUGUGGCUCUGGACUUUUGCGUGUUCCUCCUGUGAGGGCUCCAGCGUCUCGCACUUUCCCUGCAGUGAUUUGUGAAGACCCAUUUUCCCCCAUUAGGUCCUAUUAUCUCACUUUUCAGGUGAGAAACCGAUUCCUAGCUGGAAGGCGGUAGGCAGGAGCGCAAAUUUCAAGCUUGGCGUACCCUUCUCUAGUCAGUUCUGCAAUGUUCUGAGUUCCACCCGAGGCUCUUCCUCGGUGGUGCUCGGGAUGAUGCUCCGCUUCUUAGGGGAAAGGGCACUGGGCUUACUCUUAAGCAGGAGGUGGAAGGGCCAACUGAGGGGGAAGGAGGGAUCGCACUAGUGCAGAGUGUAGCAGGAGGGGCAACACCAAGCUCCAAUCACAGCCAAAGCCACAGACACUGCCCUCCUUGGACAAGCCCUGCAAGGGAGUAGGGUUUACCCAAGUUUGCAAGGCUUUCUUCUAUUUUGAAGUGUCUCCUGGGUUUGCCUCUCAGCUAAAACAUAGGUAUGACCUGUGUUGUUUAGUACACAGUGCUUUUAGGAUGUGCAAUGGCCCAUUUCAGACCUGAGUGGCCCAGGGUGGUGAGGUAACUUGCCUGGGGAUCACCAUGCUGCUAAGGCCUUAAGGAAGAAAUCCAGAUCCAGGGACCAAGUAGUAGGUCCCUGUCCCCUCACCUCAGCUCUAGAUAGAGCAUGGGGCUUAGCGAUUUCUUUCAGGGUUUCUUUAAGUUCAGCAGUUAGUCUAGGAAAACUGAGAAUCUGGCCACUCAUGUAACAGGAGAAAGACUAAUUACUUGUAAUGUGCUCUUACAGAGUUCACUGGUCAACUAGGCACAUGGUUACACACAGUUGAUCUCACAGUGAGAGAACAGAAGGGCUUCCUGAAGGGGCCUUUGAUAUGAGCGUCAGGUCUGCCAGUGCUUGUUCUCAUGAAAGUAAAUACUUUAGAAAUGUUUUAGAAAAAGUAGCAGAAUAUAUUUUGGUAUACGAUUUUUGUGUACUCUUUUUACAAAAAAAUGUUUACACAUAUAAAGCAUUUUUCAUAAUCUUUAAAAGAAUUUUAAAACGUUCAGCUAUAGGGGCAUAUCUUGUUUAGCCAAUUCUUUUUUACAGUUAGUCUCCAUUUUGUGCUCUAAUAACAUUGCUAUUGCGAGCAUCCUUUAUGAAUGUGACCAAUUAUUUCCUUAGGAUAAAUUACUAAAAAUAAGAUCGAGUGAUCAGAGUCUUUCUCUCUCUCUCUCUUUCUUAAAGCUUUUGAUAACUACCUGUCAAACAGCCCCCAGAAAAGGCUGUGGCAGGCAAGGUGCUCAACAGAUGCAUCUUGGGAUCUAAAAUCUUCAUUAAUUCAAGCAAACAGUAUUUCACAGACAUUGCAAUUUACAUUUUCUUAGUUUUUUCUUUAUUUCUUGGUCACUGUGGUCCAUUUUAAAAUAAUCUGCAUUAGUCCUUUAAAAGAUUAGGGCGGCAAUACUUCCACUUAGCUCAGUAGCUAUGCACACACUCAAGGCAAUAGCAUCCUCCUUUCUGCCAUGACUGCUGCCUUUCUCUAUUCUUCCGGUUACUGAUCUUCUUAUCCUAUCUUGGGGCUUUAAACUUUUUUUUAAAGGUAGGCAUGCUUGUUAAUUUUCUCUAAAAAAAUGCUCUAUAUUUACACUAUCUUAAAGGUUUCCCAGUUUCACAUUUCUAAGAUAAUUUAUUACCUGUAUCUUUUACCAUUAGCUCCUUUCAUUAUUUCUAUAAUCCGUUCAGUUGAAAUGAAUUCUUAUGGAAGGUGUGAGGUUUGUAUCCUAACUUUCCCCCCAAAUAAUUAGCUGGCUAUCUCAGGACUGAUUCAUGACCUGCGUGUCCCUCCACUGACCACACACAUCUCAGAAGGCCGUUCUUGGCUUCAGCACUUGUCUGCCCCAGCCUCAGUGAUGCUGCACUUGCUUAAUAUCUGGGAGAGCAGGUCAUACUACAGAUUCCGGAUUCUUCUUUUAUUCAAACUUCUCGUUUUUUUUCCCCCAAAACACAGUAAUCUAAACCAACAUUCUAUAGAUUACAAAUCUAAUUAAAAAUAAGAUAAAA